Long non-coding RNA from Triplophysa dalaica, 1040 nucleotides. RefSeq lists it as uncharacterized. Lineage: Eukaryota; Metazoa; Chordata; Actinopteri; Cypriniformes; Nemacheilidae. The record is from RefSeq and is a predicted model, not a curated record. The transcript is spliced from 4 exons.
UCAAAUUUCCCCUUAGGUAGACAGGUGGGAUCUUUUAUAAAUAUGUAUUUAUUAUUUAUGUAUCGGAGGAAGCUGCAAAAUCUAAGUUUGUUUACCGUUGCAUUAGAGAUGUUCUUUUUAAGCUGUGGCGUCACGGUACGUGCACUUAAGUUAGUUGUGCCUUGCGUGCAUCUUCGGAGUACACAUGGCUAUCUGCACUGCAUGGAAGGUUUUGGAUGUAAAGGAUCGUGCUCUUCGUUGUCAGGCUCUAUGGAGAUGUAAGCUAUCCGAGCGGAGUCAACACGAUCAUCACAUUUACAUAUAUGUGCUGCCGAAGCUAGCACAAACAUGGGGCUCGGAGGACCGGUAUUUGUACCAUGGAUACCAAGUGCUCUUCUGACUGACAGUAAGUAGAUAAAUCUAGACUGCUCGGUGGAAUAUAUGCAAAGGAGAUUUGGCUCUGGCUGCUGUGAUUGGAUCAGCGUGGUGACGUAAAGCAGUUCUUUGUCAUGCUUCACAUUCCUAACACCACCCAUUCCCCCGCCGAAAGAUCAUGCAACCUCCCCCACAGCAGACGCUUUUCUUUUCAGGAAACGGACACACUAGUGUAGCGUGGCAUUAUACUAGUUACCCUAUUUAAUCUGGUCUUUUCUGUCUAGGUUGUUGCUUGUAAAUCACAAGCAACUUAGUGAUCAGCUUCUGCCUACUAAAACCACCCUGAAGCUUGCAUGACAAAUAUCUGGCUGAACCCAGUUGUUAUAGGUAGUCCAGGAGUAUGCACUAAAGUGAAAUCUUGUAAUCUGAGUCUAGAAAUUGUUUCACAUUUGUCUUUGUUUAAGAUUUACAAACAUCUAAAAAGUUAAUGAUUCUUGACUGAGAGUUCCUAUAGUUCUCUUGUUAGAGCAUUGGCAGUGCAAAGUUUAAAGGUUUGAUUCCCAGGGAACACAUACUGGUAAAAUGUGUAACUGAAAUGCACUGUAAGUUGAUUUGGAUAACAGCAUCUUGCAAAUGCAUAAAUGUUAAUGUAUAUGACUGAUUAUUAAAAUAUUAAUAUUAAAAUA